AUGCAGGUGCUGAGUCUGAUGUUCUGUGGACUGGCACUGCUUAAGAUCUGAUUCCUGCAAGACAGACAACCCUAUCCAAGCUCUUUUAGACAUCUUCCAAGGACAAAGCAAGAAAUUGAAGAGCAGUGAUAGCUUACCAGGCAGUAAUAGUGUGAGCUUGGUGUUACUCAGGCACGUGUCCCAGAGGUCGGACAUGAAAUACUGGGUUCUGGAAGGUACCAAACGUUAGCUGAUAGUCACUGCUGCCAUUGUCUUCUCAAAUGAGAUUAUGGAAUGAUUUGAAAAGUGGGAGGCAGCCUGGAGAUGCAGAGCCAGUGAGGAGGCCGUCCGUAAACAUUUCAGCGCCACAGAGACCAAACUAGAUCUUUGAAUUUGAGUGAAGCCUAUAGGAUUAUUUGGGAAACAUCUAAAAGAAAGCCUGACAUGUCCUGUGGAGCAUGCAUUGUACAUCUGCUUUAAACAUUUACUAUGUCCCAAAGCCAAGAAAGAUGCCCUUAAAGAGAGGGAUGUGUCUUCUCCCCAUCUCGGUAUUUCUUUAAGGAGCUAAUGAUGCCAUGGUAUUGUCCUGGGAAGGAAUAUAAGAAAAUGGAGAAGAGAAGCACAAUAACAAGUUCAGAAAGAUGAUAUUUUCACCACUCAGAAUUUUAGGUUCACAUUUAAAGAAUCUUAUGGAAGUCGGAAAAGGAAAGAACCAAUACAGCCUUUUCAGUUGUGGAAGAAUUAUUUGAAAUAAAGAAUUGGAGGCUGUGCCCCAAUAAAAUGAGAGAGAAGACCAAGGAAAAGGAAGAGACGGGGUCCUGAAAAGAGGGAAGACACGGUGAAGGGAAUUGUCAGGAUGACGGCCGUGUGCCAGAUCCGGAGAGCAGCAGUCUACAUGGAGCUGGACUGGCAUCUCCAGGAUAGAUUCUCUGAAGUACUAGAAAAUGAAAAAAUUUUUGUUAGGGCGUUCGUCAGACAGUGGAAAAGAGAUCACAAUGGUUAAUUUCGCUAUGUUGGAAGAGUUACUACAGGAGACAAAUACCCUUCUUGGCUGGAGAUCACUG
This 1043-nucleotide long non-coding RNA is filed under the name Equus caballus (horse). RNAcentral describes it as "lncRNA (ENSECAG00000047610.1)". Lineage: Eukaryota; Metazoa; Chordata; Mammalia; Perissodactyla; Equidae. The record is from RNAcentral.